Molecule: long non-coding RNA, 1305 nt
Organism: Oncorhynchus keta (chum salmon)
Lineage: Eukaryota; Metazoa; Chordata; Actinopteri; Salmoniformes; Salmonidae
Exons: 5
Source: RefSeq, a predicted model, not a curated record
GGUGUUUCAAGCCUACAACAUAUGGAACGACAGUCGAGUGGGAUCCAUAUAGCUGGAGCAGAGGGAGGGUUUUGUCUACAGGGGGUAGAUGAGUAGGUCCUCCUCAUAGCUGGAGCAGAGGGAGGGUUUUGUCUACAGGGGGUAGAUGAUCAGGUCCUCCUCAUAGCUGGAGCAGAGGGAGGGUUUUGUCAACAGGGGGUAGAUGAUCAGGUCCUCCUCAUAGCUGGAGCAGAGGGAGGGUUUUGUCUACAGGGGGUAGAUGAUCAGGUCCUCCUCAUAGCUGGAGCAGAGGGAGGGUUUUGUCUACAGGGGGUAGAUGAUCAGGUCCUCCUCAUAGCUGGAGCAGAGGGAGGGUUUUGUCUACAGGGGGUAGAUGAUCAGGUCCUCCUCAUAGCUGGAGCAGAGGGAGGGUUUUGUCUACAGGGGGUAGAUGAGUAGGUUCUCCUCAUAGCUGGAGCAGAGGGAGGGUUUUGUCAACAGGGGGUAGAUGAGUAGGUCCUCCUCAUAGCUGGAGCAGAGGGAGGGUUUUGUCUACAGGGGGUAGAUGAUCAGGUCCUCCUCAUAGCUGGAGCAGAGGGAGGGUUUUGUCUACAGGGGGUAGAUGAGUAGGUCCUCCUCAUAGCUGGAGCAGAGGGAGGGUUUUGUCUACAGGGGGUAGAUGAUCAGGUCCUCCUCAUAGCUGGAGCAGAGGGAGGGUUUUUGUCAACAGGGGGUAGAUGAGUAGGUUCUCCUCAUAGCUGGAGCAGAGGGAGGGUUUUGUCUACAGGGGGUAGAUGAGUAGGUUCUCCUCAUAGCUGGAGCAGAGGGAGGGUUUUGUCUACAGGGGGUAGAUGAUCAGGUUCUCCUCAUAGCUGGAGCAGAGGGAGGGUUUUGUCUACAGGGGGUAGAUGAGUAGGUUCUCCUCAUAGCUGGAGCAGAGGGAGGGUUUUGUCUACAGGGGGUAGAUGAUCAGGUCCUCCUCAUAGCUGGAGCAGAGGGAGGGUUUUGUCAACAGGGGGUAGAUGAGUAGGUCCUCCAGUGGCAGGCAGGUAGCACUGUUCACUCGCCUCGCAGUCCCAGCUGUCUGACUGCCUUGUACAAGAUGAAGUUCAUUACUACGUUCCCACUAACUCAAUGAUGUCAGCCAGCACAAAUCUUCAGAGGAAUCGUCAGACUGAGCAUUGAAUUCAUCCCUGCCAGCUUGCAGUCCUCCUCACGGGUCAGGAGACCAUAAAAACAAGCAAAAAAUAUGGUGGGCGGCAGCGUAGCCUAGUGGUUAGAGCGUUGGACUAGUAACCAGAAGGUUGCAAGUUCAAACCCCCGAGC